GAUGAACGCUAGCGGCAGGCCUAAUACAUGCAAGUCGAGGGGUAGUGGAAGCUUGCUUCCAUGAGACCGGCGCACGGGUGCGUAACGCGUAUGCAACCUACCUUUAUCUGGGGGAUAGCCCGAAGAAAUUCGGAUUAACACCGCAUAAAAUCACAGAGCCGCAUGGUUCAAUGAUCAAAUAUUUAUAGGAUGAAGAUGGGCAUGCGUGUCAUUAGUUAGUUGGCGGGGUAACGGCCCACCAAGACCGCGAUGACUAGGGGAUCUGAGAGGAUGACCCCCCACACUGGUACUGAGACACGGACCAGACUCCUACGGGAGGCAGCAGUAAGGAAUAUUGGUCAAUGGAGGCAACUCUGAACCAGCCAUGCCGCGUGCAGGAAGACAGCCCUCUGGGUCGUAAACUGCUUUUAUUCGGGAAUAAACCUACUUACGUGUAAGUAGCUGAAUGUACCGAAGGAAUAAGGAUCGGCUAACUCCGUGC
This 481-nucleotide ribosomal RNA is filed under the name uncultured bacterium. Its description in RNAcentral is "bacterial SSU rRNA". It matches the Rfam family "Bacterial small subunit ribosomal RNA", at positions 28 to 508 of the family's 1533-position model. The record is from RNAcentral.